Molecule: ribosomal RNA, 497 nt
Filed under: uncultured bacterium
Lineage: Bacteria
Description: partial 16S ribosomal RNA
Rfam family: Bacterial small subunit ribosomal RNA
Source: RNAcentral
GAUGAACGCUGGCGGCGUGCCUAAUACAUGCAAGUCGAGCGAACAGAUAAGGAGCUUGCUCCUUUGACGUUAGCGGCGGGCGGGUGAGUAACACGUGGGUAACCUACCUAUAAGACUGGGAUAACUUCGGGAAACCGGAGCUAAUACCGGAUAACAUUUGGAACCGCAUGGUUCUAAAGUGAAAGAUGGUUUUGCUAUCACUUAUAGAUGGACCCGCGCCGUAUUAGCUAGUUGGUAAGGUAACGGCUUACCAAGGCGACGAUACGUAGCCGACCUGAGAGGGUGAUCGGCCACACUGGAACUGAGACACGGUCCAGACUCCUACGGGAGGCAGCAGUAGGGAAUCUUCCGCAAUGGGCGAAAGCCUGACGGAGCAACGCCGCGUGAGUGAUGAAGGGCUUCGGCUCGUAAAACUCUGUUAUUAGGGAAGAACAAACGUGUAAGUAACUGUGCACGUCUUGACGGUACCUAAUCAGAAAGCCACGGCUAACUACGUG